AGCGAACGCUGGCGGCAGGCCUAACACAUGCAAGUCGAACGAACUCUUCGGAGUUAGUGGCGGACGGGUGAGUAACACGUGGGAACGUGCCUUUAGGUUCGGAAUAACUCAGGGAAACUUGUGCUAAUACCGAAUGUGCCCUUCGGGGGAAAGAUUUAUCGCCUUUAGAGCGGCCCGCGUCUGAUUAGCUAGUUGGUGAGGUAAAGGCUCACCAAGGCGACGAUCAGUAGCUGGUCUGAGAGGAUGAUCAGCCACAUUGGGACUGAGACACGGCCCAAACUCCUACGGGAGGCAGCAGUGGGGAAUCUUGCGCAAUGGGCGAAAGCCUGACGCAGCCAUGCCGCGUGAAUGAUGAAGGUCUUAGGAUUGUAAAAUUCUUUCACCGGGGACGAUAAUGACGGUACCCGGAGAAGAAACCCCGGCUAACUUCGUG
RNAcentral lists this ribosomal RNA (433 nucleotides) under uncultured bacterium. Its description in RNAcentral is "partial 16S ribosomal RNA". It matches the Rfam family "Bacterial small subunit ribosomal RNA", at positions 29 to 507 of the family's 1533-position model. The record is from RNAcentral.